This is a small nucleolar RNA of Ricinus communis (castor bean), 107 nucleotides long. The record is from RefSeq and is a predicted model, not a curated record. NCBI's taxonomy places the organism in Eukaryota, Viridiplantae, Streptophyta, Magnoliopsida, Malpighiales, Euphorbiaceae.
AAACCAUGGUGUGGGCAACAUCUUAGCAAGUUCUCGUACCUCUCCCAUGCAUCAUACAUGCUCUCAUCAUCAAACUACACAAAAGAAGACAUAUCGUUACACAUUUU